This 472-nucleotide ribosomal RNA is filed under the name uncultured bacterium. RNAcentral's name for it is "bacterial SSU rRNA". It matches the Rfam family "Bacterial small subunit ribosomal RNA", at positions 328 to 793 of the family's 1533-position model. The record is from RNAcentral.
GUAGAGCACUCCUACGGGAGGCAGCAGUGGGGAAUAUUGCACAAUGGGCGCAAGCCUGAUGCAGCCAUGCCGCGUGUAUGAAGAAGGCCUUCGGGUUGUAAAGUACUUUCAGCAGUGAGGAAGGUGGAUAUGUUAAUAGCAUAUUCAUUUGACGUUAGCUGCAGAAGAAGCACCGGCUAACUCCGUGCCAGCAGCCGCGGUAAUACGGAGGGUGCGAGCGUUAAUCGGAAUUACUGGGCGUAAAGCGCAUGCAGGUGGUUUGUUAAGUCAGAUGUGAAAGCCCGGGGCUCAACCUCGGAAUUGCAUUUGAAACUGGCAAACUAGAGUACUGUAGAGGGGGUAGAAUUUCAGGUGUAGCGGUGAAAUGCGUAGAGAUCUGAAGGAAUACCGGUGGCGAAGGCGGCCCCCUGGACAGAUACUGACACUCAGAUGCGAAAGCGUGGGGAGCAAACAGGAUUAGAUACCCUGGUAG